Molecule: unclassified non-coding RNA, 358 nt
Filed under: soil metagenome
Description: partial contains 5.8S ribosomal RNA, internal transcribed spacer 2, and large subunit ribosomal RNA
Rfam family: 5.8S ribosomal RNA (bases 1-120)
Source: RNAcentral
GAUGAAGAACGUAGCGAAAUGCGAUAAGUAAUGUGAAUUGCAGAAUUCAGUGAAUCAUCGAAUCUUUGAUCGCACAUUGCGCCCGUCAGUAUUCUGGCGGGCAUGCCUGUUCGAGCGUCAUUACGCCCCUCAAGUCCCCUGUGGACUUGGUGUUGGGGAUCGGCGAGGCUGGUUUUCCAGCACAGCCGUCCCUUAAAUUAAUUGGCGGUCUCGCCGUGGCCCUCCUCUGCGCAGUAGUAAAACACUCGCAACAGGAGCCCGGCGCGGUCCACUGCCGUAAAACCCCCCAACUUUUUAUAGUUGACCUCGAAUCAGGUAGGACUACCCGCUGAACUUAAGCAUAUCAAUAAGCGGAGGA